CCUACGGGAGGCAGCAGUAGGGAAUUUUCGUCAAUGGGCGCAAGCCUGAACGAGCAAUGCCGCGUGAAGGAAGAAGUAUUUCGGUAUGUAAACUUCUAUCAGCAGGGAAGAAAAUGACGGUACCUGACUAAGAAGCCCCGGCUAACUACGUGCCAGCAGCCGCGGUAAUACGUAGGGGGCAAGCGUUAUCCGGAUUUACUGGGUGUAAAGGGAGCGUAGGCGGUAAUGCAAGUCAGAAGUGAAAGCCCGGGGCUCAACUCCGGGACUGCUUUUGAAACUGUGUUACUAGAUUGCAGGAGAGGUAAGUGGAAUUCCUAGUGUAGCGGUGAAAUGCGUAGAUAUUAGGAGGAACACCAGUGGCGAAGGCGGCUUACUGGACUGUAAAUGACGCUGAGGCUCGAAAGCGUGGGGAGCAAACAGGAUUAGAUACCCCAGUAGUC
RNAcentral lists this ribosomal RNA (440 nucleotides) under uncultured bacterium. Its description in RNAcentral is "partial 16S ribosomal RNA". It matches the Rfam family "Bacterial small subunit ribosomal RNA", at positions 338 to 795 of the family's 1533-position model. The record is from RNAcentral.